RNAcentral lists this unclassified non-coding RNA (339 nucleotides) under fungal sp. RNAcentral's name for it is "partial internal transcribed spacer region". Lineage: Eukaryota; Fungi. The record is from RNAcentral.
AAGUCGUAACAAGGUUUACCUUCAUCCUGCUCAUGUAACCCGCGUAGUUCGCAAUCUCUGAUAAAUCAUAGCCCGGAAAGUUGUAGUGAUUCAGAGACCUCUGGCUACGUGCGAACAUUGGAACAGUUACAAUCGAGCGGUAGUUCUAUAGGCAAUGUUUCCCCAAGCAGUCAGUGUCGGAAAGUGUCAUUUAUUGUGCAAGGAUGGCGCUUCUACGAUUCCUGUAGACCGUACACUCGGGCGAGCUUUGCCAAAGGGUCCCCAUGCCCCCUAAUAACCCCACUAAGCUCAAUGUAAUACAUUGGGUAACAACUGUUAACAAUGGAUAUCUUGGUUCUC